Oryzias latipes (Japanese medaka) is the source of this 3804-nucleotide long non-coding RNA. RefSeq lists it as uncharacterized. Lineage: Eukaryota; Metazoa; Chordata; Actinopteri; Beloniformes; Adrianichthyidae. The record is from RefSeq and is a predicted model, not a curated record.
AAUCAAACCCAAGCAGGACAGAGAAAACGUCACAAAUACAACUGGUUAACAGCAGCCAGUUUGCCAUCCAUCAAGUUAGACAUUUUGACGCAAACACCCAAACUGUUUAUCACACUUUUUCAAAAUUCAGCAUAAAAUCUGGUUUUGUUCUUUGCUUUUGGUCAAGAAAGAGGAAAAAGUCAAAAACAAUUAAUAGUCUGCUGAUUUUUUUUUUUUAAGUUCGGGCUCCAGUCUGAGUUUUGAGAUUGAAAUCUGCAACCCUAAAUUGGGGCAAACAUUCUGAAGAAACUGGUGCAAAUGUCAGAUGGGGUCAGGAUAACCCCAAAAGCUUCAACAAAGGCAGCCAUUGUGUUGCCCUUUCAACUCUAUGUUAUCCGGCCCCCACAAACACACCCACCCACCCACGCAAACACGCUGCCACCGUGAAUGGAGGAUAAUAUUUUCACAGCAAGUCUGUCCAAAUAAAAGAGCAAUUCAGUGGCUCGCAUGUAAAAAUAAACAAUUUUUAAAUGAAAUUUCAACAAAAGUUCAGCAAAAAACUAUUGCUACGAAGGUUUAAGUUGGCCCCUUUAAAAUAAAAAUAAAAAACACUGUUAACAAUUCUGUUUAGCUUUCAUGGCUCAGCACUGACAAUAGCUGCUCUAAAGCAGCAUUAAUUGUGGUAACAAAGAGGCAGAUUGGAGGCAACAACAAUCCAAUCAGCCCCUUCAGUCUUUCUACGCCUGCAUUGUUGCAUCCAUCAGCCUUGAGACAUGAGAUAACCGAUUUGUGUCAGCAUCUAUUACGAUCGCACAAAGUGAUGAGUGAAAAGGGAUCACUGCGUUGAUGUUUGUUGGCAAACUCUCCAGGACUGAUGGCAAAUCUAGAAGCCGCAUCUGGGCUGAUGCAUUAAGGUCAGACAGUCUUUGUUGUCUUCGUGUGUGUAUAGACACCCUUUUUUUGGGCUACUUUGCUCAUCUGCUCCUCUGUAAUUUAGACGCUUUUUAGGACACCAAAAAUUCGAUAAAUUUGGACUUUGGCAGUUAUUAUAUGACUGUUUGUCCAUCAGUAAGUUCAUAAAUCAGUAGCCAUUACCCAUAUUAGCUUAGAUCUGGAAGCUUUUCAUUUUUUUUAUUUAUGUACCUUUUUUUUUUUUUUUUUACCUUAACCAGUGUAUAGGAGUUGACUAGUAUCAUUUCUGCGCUCUAUUAACUAAUGUCUUAGUCAGACACACCCAUACGGGUGCUGCAGGUUUUUGGAUUGUUCGGGCCCAUGGGGGGUUGUACUGUAGACAGGAACGGCAGCAUCUUAAGGGGAGCGCAGGUGUGUCUUGCAGUUAACCUUAAGGGACAUCAUAGAAAAUGGAACAUACCGUUAAUGUGUGUGAAGUAAGUUUAUUGUGAAGCGUUUGUAAGGCUAACGUACGUUGCCCAAACUUAUGACAUACAAGGUAUGAGUACUGGCCUCUUACUGAACCCUCAUGAAUGCCGCACUCACAGGGUGUGCACAUGAAGUGCCUGUAGGAUGCCUGCACAAACUAUACUCUGAUUCUUAAAUUUUCACAACAGUCAGGCUUCACACAAGGACAACACACUUGUCACGUGAACAGCACUAAUGGGUUCCUUGCGUUCCUUUACACAACUUGGGGUGUUACGAUAAAUGAAAAAUCUGUAUGACAUGCCUACAUCCCCCCUAAUUUACCCUUCCGUGUUGCAUAAGUGUUCACUAUGACCUGUCGCUGGCAGCAUGCCCGUAGUAAAUCAGCUUGAAAAUUUUUACUCUACGGCAUCGCUUAGCGCUCUACAACCUUGAUAUUACGUUGGGGUCACCUGCUUGCCCUGUACAGGUUUGCCCCUUUGUUUUCCUGCACACAGCUUGUAUCCACCGAUAAGGGCAGUUGUGACUAAGGCUUAAUGUGCUUCAAAUUCCCCUUUUUCCAGCUGGUUGCAUCAGGUUAGUGGAAUGACUCUGCCUGUCCUGCACUUAACUCACAACGGUCUUUUAAAAAAUCAAGUGAUGGCCUAAUUAUUCAGACAAGCUUUUAGAGGAUUCAUUCUUAAAAACAACCACGAUGACAGCUGGAUUGUCAUUCACUCACAUGGCCACAAAGUCUAACAUUUUUCCACAUUUUGUGACCUUUAAAUACAUUUUACUCUUCUUUCAACAAUCCUUGUAAUAAAGUUUACGCUUUACUAAAGUUAGGUCAAAAACCAUUAAAAUCCUCACUUUGAACGUCUAAGUUCUUCAUAAAGAAAUAGUCAAAGCUUUCUGAAACGCUUGUGGACCAAAGUCAAGUAUUAUUGAUGUAUGUCUCCAAUGUCUCCAGAGGGAAGCUUUAAUAGAAACUGUCCUGUAAACAUGCGUAAAAGCUCCAGCACCCAUACUCCCACAUUCCCACUCAGCGUGUCUUCUGCUCGUUCCUUCUGCUGAACUUUGGAUCUCUUUCUUGAUUACAACCUCAAGCACUUUUAAGCUAUUUUUUUAAUAGAUUUCUCAGAAAACAUAGUUUCGAUGGUUAUUAUAGCCCAUUAGUGUCUUCUAUUUAUCUAAAUAGAGCUAUUAGGGCUGUAUGGAUAAAACAAAGAGUUCUUUCAUGCUGACAAAGCUUCCAGGUUUGGUAUGUCUUCAUGUCUGUCAGUCUGUCACUGCUCCUCUUUUUCGUUAUUUCAUCAAACAUGUCUUUUUCUCAUAGUUUACUUUUUUUCUUGCACCUGCUCCUCUUACUGUCCAUCUCUGUUCAUCAUCUGCUUCUCAUUUCUUCUUCUUUUCUCCUUCCCACCCUUUCCUUUGCCUUUUUUCUCCUGGACCACCCCUCUCUGCUUCAUACCAGAGAGUGUUUCGCUGACACGAAGAGGUUAUCGUGUUUUGAUCCUCCUGAACCUCUUGUGGCCUCCUUCUCUUCAUGACUAGUUGCUACCCAACAUGGAAAAAGAACGAAGCUAAGUCAUCUGUCAGCCUUUACUGGGACUGGCUUUCACUCAGCAGAUGGAUCUCCUAAGGUUUGUGCGCCCACCUUGAGGGACAUUAUGAAAAUGGAACAUACCAUCGUCAUAAAAAUCGGACUUACCAUCAUCUUGCGUGGGGCUUGAUUCCACCCUCCACCAAUUACCUCCUGGCUGCCUGGUUCCCACUUUCUGUCAUUCACUGCAGAACCACUUUAUCUCAUCGCUCGGGCAGCCGGAGCAGCAGCCACAGAAGCAGCAGAGAGCAAGACGCUGGAGGAAAACGCCUUUCAGGAUCCAAAAGCAAUCCUCCCUUGGACACACAUGCCUCACCUGUGUCUGCUCGCCGCCCUCUGACCUGUCUGUAUGCUGGACUCCACAUACCCCAGACCCGAACAGAGCCGAAAAAAGGCAAAGGCGAGCAGAUUCGAACCGUCCAGACCUCUUUUUGCCGGACUCCGUCCUCAGCUACCGGCUAAAACAGCAACAGAGCCAUGGCUUCACAGCAACAGGGUCCAUUUGGCGACGUUCAGAAGCUGGCCUCCUUUCUACAGCCUAGGGGCCAACUGAUGAAUGUCUGCUCACGCUGGGGCACUGGAUCGUACUGUGCAAAGAUGCAUGAAAGUGCGAGAGAAAUGUGACCACGCUGACUAACACCAGGUGGUCGGUGGCUGACUGUUUGGGGAGCAGAAAGAAUUCAGCCCAUUUGUUUACUUGACCUUGGCCCGCUGUUAAAUGAUUAUGACUUACAGAGAAGCUGUUUACAGAGAAAUCCAACCUGCACAGUAGCAUUAUUUGGCUCUGUUGCUUUUAAACUUCAGUUUCAUUUUCUGCUAAAAAAGGAUAUUUUGCAAACAUGAAAAUAAAAAAUGUGGAAAAACAA